CUGGCUCAGGAUGAACGCUGGCGGCGUGCAUAACACAUCAAGUCGAACGGUGGAGCGCCUCGGGUGCGGAUCGAGUGGCGGACGGGUGAGUAACGCGUGAGCAACCUGCCGUAUAGUGGGGGAUAACACAGGGAAACUUGUGCUAAUACCGCAUGACACAUUGGAAUCGCAUGGUUUUGAUGUCAAAGAUUUAUUGCUGUACGAUGGGCUCGCGUAUGAUUAGACAGUUGGCAGGGUAACGGCCUACCAAAUCAACGAUCAUUAGCCGAACUGAGAGGUUGAACGGCCACAUUGGAACUGAGAAACGGUCCAGACUCCUACGGGAGGCAGCAGUGGGGAAUAUUGGGCAAUGGGCGAAAGCCUGAACCCCAGCGACGCCGCGUGAGGGAAGAAGGUCUUCGGAUUGUAAACCUCUUUCAGCAGGGAAGAAAAGAUGACGGUACCUGCAGAAGAAGUCACGGCUAACUACGUGCCAGCCGCAGC
RNAcentral lists this ribosomal RNA (483 nucleotides) under uncultured bacterium. RNAcentral describes it as "bacterial SSU rRNA". It matches the Rfam family "Bacterial small subunit ribosomal RNA", at positions 19 to 518 of the family's 1533-position model. The record is from RNAcentral.